RNAcentral lists this ribosomal RNA (468 nucleotides) under uncultured bacterium. Its description in RNAcentral is "partial 16S ribosomal RNA". It matches the Rfam family "Bacterial small subunit ribosomal RNA", at positions 28 to 507 of the family's 1533-position model. The record is from RNAcentral.
GACGAACGCUGGCGGCGUGCUUAACACAUGCAAGUCGAACGGAAAGGCCCUGCUUUUGGGGGGUGCUCGAGUGGCGAACGGGUGAGUAACACGUGAGUAACCUGCCCUUGACUUUGGGAUAACUUCAGGAAACUGGGGCUAAUACCGGAUAGGAGCUCCUGCUGCAUGGUGGGGGUUGGAAAGUUUCGGCGGUUGGGGAUGGACUCGCGGCUUAUCAGCUUGUUGGUGGGGUAGUGGCUUACCAAGGCUUUGACGGGUAGCCGGCCUGAGAGGGUGACCGGCCACAUUGGGCCUGAGAUACGGCCCAGACUCCUACGGGAGGCAGCAGUGGGGAAUAUUGCACAAUGGUCGGAAGCCUGAUGCAGCAACGCCGCGUGCGGGAUGACGGCCUUCGGGUUGUAAACCGCUUUCGCCUGUGACGAAGCGUGAGUGACGGUAAUGGGUAAAGAAGCACCGGCUAACUACGUG